RNAcentral lists this ribosomal RNA (484 nucleotides) under uncultured bacterium. RNAcentral describes it as "partial 16S ribosomal RNA". It matches the Rfam family "Bacterial small subunit ribosomal RNA", at positions 30 to 507 of the family's 1533-position model. The record is from RNAcentral.
AUUGAACGCUGGCGGCAGGCCUAACACAUGCAAGUCGAGCGGAUGAAGGGAGCUUGCUCCUGGAUUCAGCGGCGGACGGGUGAGUAAUGCCUAGGAAUCUGCCUGGUAGUGGGGGAUAACGUCCGGAAACGGGCGCUAAUACCGCAUACGUCCUGAGGGAGAAAGUGGGGGAUCUUCGGACCUCACGCUAUCAGAUGAGCCUAGGUCGGAUUAGCUAGUUGGUGGGGUAAAGGCCUACCAAGGCGACGAUCCGUAACUGGUCUGAGAGGAUGAUCAGUCACACUGGAACUGAGACACGGUCCAGACUCCUACGGUAGGCAGCAGUGGGGAAUAUUGGACGAUGGGCGAAAGCCUGAUCCAGCCAUGCCGCGUGUGUGAAGAAGGUCUUCGGAUUGUAGAGCACUUUAAGUUGGGAGGAAGGGCAGUAAGUUAAUACCUUGCUGUUUUGACGUUACCAACAGAAUAAGCACCGGCUAACUUCGUG